AACGACAAAUGGCAAACCCACUGAAAGGUGGGGACGCAAAGCCACGGGUCUAAGGUGUUGACUCACAACACUAUGACAGCCGGGUUGCCGAA
RNAcentral lists this non-coding RNA (92 nucleotides) under Tumebacillus sp. RNAcentral describes it as "c-di-GMP sequence". It matches the Rfam family "c-di-GMP-I riboswitch aptamer". From Rfam's summary of the family: GEMM was predicted in a large-scale screen for bacterial structured RNA regulatory elements. Genes associated with GEMM are involved in a diverse array of functions, including chemotaxis regulation, signal transduction, secretion and chitin. The record is from RNAcentral. Lineage: Bacteria; Bacillati; Bacillota; Bacilli; Caryophanales; Alicyclobacillaceae.